Molecule: ribosomal RNA, 118 nt
Filed under: Diaphorina citri (Asian citrus psyllid)
Lineage: Eukaryota; Metazoa; Arthropoda; Insecta; Hemiptera; Psyllidae
Source: RNAcentral
GCCAGCGGUGCUAGCCCGUUGAACACACCAGUUUCGGACGGAUCACCGAAGUUAAGCAACGUUGGGCGUUCUUCGUAUGCAGAUGGGUACCCAUUUAGGCAAUUGCGUGCUGCUGGCU